RNAcentral lists this ribosomal RNA (2785 nucleotides) under Triticum aestivum (bread wheat). RNAcentral's name for it is "eukaryotic LSU rRNA". It matches the Rfam family "Eukaryotic large subunit ribosomal RNA", at positions 470 to 3401 of the family's 3401-position model. Lineage: Eukaryota; Viridiplantae; Streptophyta; Magnoliopsida; Poales; Poaceae. The record is from RNAcentral.
AGGUUCCAGGUCGGCAGCCUGGACUAGCAGGGUGGAUGUCGUUUGAGUUUCUGUUUGUGAUUCAUCUGUAGUCGGAUGGUCCUCUUAUGUAUUGUGUUGUUGUAUUCAUGUGGCAUUGUAUGCCUUUGUUAUGUAUCCCCAUCCAUUAUGUAAUGUUGAUAUAAUGAUAUCCACCUUCCAAAAGCGUAUCAAUAUGCGGUUAUAUCCUUGGUGAGACCUUCGUGUCUCUUUAGGAUAGUAUCGCAUAUUGGGCGUGACAUCCUCACGGGUCGCACCACUGUCCGACCCUGAUCUUUUGUGAAGGGUUCGAGUUGGAGCACGCCUGUCGGGACCCGAAAGAUGGUGAACUAUGCCUGAGCGGGGCGCAGCCAGAGGAAACUCUGGUGGAAGAUCGAAGCAAUAGUGACAUGCAAAUCGUUCGUCUGACUUGGUAUAGGGGUGAAAGACUAAUCAAACCAUCUAGUAGCUGGUUCCGUCCGAAGUUUCGCUCAGGAUAGCUGGAGCCCAUUACGAGUUCUAUCAGGUAAAGCCAAUGAUUAGAGGCAUUGGGGACGCAACGUCCUCAACCUAUUCUCAAACUUUAAAUAGGUAGGAUGGCGCGACUGCUUCGGUGAGCCAUGCCACGGAAUCGGGUGCUCCAAGUGUGCCAUUAUUGAUGAGCAGAACUGGCGAUGCGGGAUGAACCGGAAGACGGGUUACGGUGCCCAACUGCGCACUAACCUAGAACCCACAAAGGGUGUUGGUCGAUUAAGAUAGUAAGAUGGUGGUCAUGGAAGUCGAAAUCCGCUAAGGAGAGUGUAACAACUCACCCGCCGAAUCAACUAGCCCCGAAAAUGGAUGGUGCUGAAGCGCACGACCCACACCUGACCAUCUGGGUGAGCGCCAUGCCCUGAUGAGUAGGAGGGUGCGAUGGCCGCUGCAAAACCUGGGUCGCAAGACCGGGAGAAGCGGCCGAUGGUGCAGAUCUUGGUGGUAGUAGCAAAUAUUCUAAUGAGAACUUUGAAGGCCGAAGAGGAGAAAGGUUCCAUGUGAACUUCAAUUGCACAUGGGUAAGCCGAUCUUAAGGGACGGGGUAACCCCGGCAGAUAGCGCGAUCACGCGCAUCCCCUGAAAGGGAAUCAAGUUAAGAUUUCUCGAGCCGGGAUGUGGCGGUUGACGACAACGUUAGGAAGCCCAGAGAUGCCUGCGGGGGCCUCGGAAGAGUUAUCUUUUCUGCUUAACGGCCUGCCAACCCUGGAAACGGUUCAACCGGAGGUAGGUUCUAGUGGCCCAUCAGGUCUCCAAGGUGAACAACCUCUGGCCAAUGGAACAAUGUAGGCAAGGGAAGUUGGGAAAAUGGAUCUGUAACUUCGGGAAAAGGAUUGUCUCUAAGGACUGGGCUAGGGGGUCCCGGCCCCGAACCCAUCGGUUGUCGACGGAUUGCUCGAGCUGCUCACGCGGCGAGAGCAUGUCGCCGCGUGCCAGCCGGGUGCAGACCGGGAAUCGCCCCUUCGGGGUUUUUCAUUGAGCAUGAAACAGUCGACUCAGAACUGGUACGGACAAGGGGAAUCCGACUGUUUAAUUAAAACAACGCAUUGCGAUUGUUCUCAUGGAUGCUGACGCAAUGUGAUUUCUGCCUAGUGCUUUGAAUCUCAAAGUGAAGAAAUUCAACCAAGUGCGGGUAAAUGGCGGGAGUAACUAUGACACUCUUAAGGUAGCCAAAUGCCUUGUCAUCUAAUUAGUGACACGCAUAAAUGAAACCACAGCCAUGGAACGGGCUUGGCGGAAUCAGUGGGGAAAGAAGACCAUGUUGUGCUUGACUCUAGUCUGACUUUGUGAAAUGACUUGAGAGGUGUAGGAUAAGUUGGAGCCCUCACGGGCGCAAGUGAAAUACCACUUCUUUUAACAUUAUUUUACUUAUUCCGAGGGUUGGAAGCGGGGCAUGUCCCCUCCUUUUGGCUCCAAGGCUCGGUUUUAUCGGGCCGAUCCGGGUGGAAGACAUUGUCAGGUGGGGAGUUUGGCUGGGGCGGCACAUCAGUUUAAAGAUAAUGCAAGUGUCCUAAGAUGAGCUCAACGAGAAUAGAAAUCUCGUGCGGAAGAAAAGCGUAAAAGCUCGUUGGAUUCUGAUUUCCAGUACGAAUAUGAACCGUGAAAGCAUGGCCUGUCGAUCCUUUAGAUAUUCGAAGUAUGAAGCUAGAGGUGUCAGAAAAGUUACCAUAGGGAUAACUGGCUUGUGGCAGCCAAGCGUUUAUAGCGGUGUCGCUUUUUGAUCCUUCGAUGCCGGCCCUUCCUAUCAUUGUGAAGCAGAAUUCACCAAGUGUUGGAUUGUUCACCCACCAAUAGGGAACGUGAGCUGGGUUUAGACCGUCGUGAGACACAUUAAUUUUACCCUACUGAUGACAGUGUCGCGAUAAUUAUUCAACCUAGUAUGAGAGGAACCGUUGAUUCACACAAUUGGUCAUCGCACUUGGUUGAAAAGCCAGUGGCGCAAAGCUACUGUGUGACGAAUUAUUACUGAAUGCCUUAAGUCAGAAUCCAAGCUAGCAUGCGACGCCUGCGCCCGCCUCCCGCCCCGACUCAUGUUAGCGGCGCUUGCGCCCCCAAGGGAAUGUGCCAUUGGCUAAGCCGGUCCGGCCGACGUGCCGCGGCCGGCCGCCUUGAGGCUCCCUUCCCAAUGGGCGGUGGGCUGAAUCCUUUGCAGACAACUUAAAUACGUGACAGGGCAUUGUAAGUGGCAGAGUGGCCUUGCUGCCACGAUCCACUGAGAUCCACCCCCAUGUCGCAUGGAUUCGUCCCUCCCCCACAA